AGCGAACGCUGGCGGCAGGCUUAACACAUGCAAGUCGAGCGGGCGUAGCAAUACGUCAGCGGCAGACGGGUGAGUAACGCGUGGGAACGUACCUUUUGGUUCGGAACAACCCAGGGAAACUUGGGCUAAUACCGGAUAAGCCCUUACGGGGAAAGGAUUAUCGCCGAAGAUCGGCCCGCGUCUGAUUAGCUAGUUGGUGAGGUAACGGCUCACCAAGGCGACGAUCAGUAGCUGGUCUGAGAGGAUGAUCAGCCACAUUGGGACUGAGACACGGCCCAAACUCCUACGGGA
Molecule: ribosomal RNA, 291 nt
Filed under: uncultured bacterium
Lineage: Bacteria
Description: partial 16S ribosomal RNA
Rfam family: Bacterial small subunit ribosomal RNA
Source: RNAcentral